RNAcentral lists this ribosomal RNA (235 nucleotides) under uncultured bacterium. RNAcentral describes it as "partial 16S ribosomal RNA". It matches the Rfam family "Bacterial small subunit ribosomal RNA", at positions 100 to 334 of the family's 1533-position model. The record is from RNAcentral.
CCGGCACGGGUGAGUAACACGUAUCCAACCUGCCGUCUACUCUUGGACAGCCUUCUGAAAGGAAGAUUAAUACAAGAUGGCAUCAUGAGUCCGCAUGUUCACAUGAUUAAAGGUAUUCCGGUAGACGAUGGGGAUGCGUUCCAUUAGAUAGUAGGCGGGGUAACGGCCCACCUAGUCUUCGAUGGAUAGGGGUUCUGAGAGGAAGUCCCCCACAUUGGAACUGAGCACGGUCCAA